Molecule: long non-coding RNA, 205 nt
Organism: Zea mays
Lineage: Eukaryota; Viridiplantae; Streptophyta; Magnoliopsida; Poales; Poaceae
Exons: 2
Source: RefSeq, a predicted model, not a curated record
GAAUUGAGGGUAUCCAUGGAGAUGCAUGUAGCUGAACUCAGUCAAGUUUCUAUCCAUUGUGUGUGCGCGCGCGCUUAUUUGGCAUCGUGUUCUUCCUUUUCAUGGGGAAUCAUAAAAGCAUAUGGAGGAACUAUGUAUAGGCUACAAAGAAGCAUAAGAAGCAUUUUUAUAGCAGAAGCCAAGUGUUCUGAUGAUUUUGUUUUUU